RNAcentral lists this transfer RNA (74 nucleotides) under Candidatus Bathyarchaeota archaeon. Its description in RNAcentral is "tRNA-Val". It matches the Rfam family "tRNA". From Rfam's summary of the family: Transfer RNA (tRNA) molecules are approximately 80 nucleotides in length. Their secondary structure includes four short double-helical elements and three loops (D, anti-codon, and T loops). The record is from RNAcentral. Lineage: Archaea; Thermoproteati; Candidatus Bathyarchaeota.
GAGCCGAUAGAUCAGCCUGGAAGAUCACUCGGUUGACGUCCGAGAGGUCGGGGGUUCGAUUCCCCCUCGGCCCA